Molecule: ribosomal RNA, 1389 nt
Filed under: Lactiplantibacillus plantarum
Lineage: Bacteria; Bacillati; Bacillota; Bacilli; Lactobacillales; Lactobacillaceae
Also listed under: 1 other name
Description: Lactobacillus plantarum 16S ribosomal RNA
Rfam family: Bacterial small subunit ribosomal RNA
Source: RNAcentral
GAGUGGCGAACUGGUGAGUAACACGUGGGAAACCUGCCCAGAAGCGGGGGAUAACACCUGGAAACAGAUGCUAAUACCGCAUAACAACUUGGACCGCAUGGUCCGAGUUUGAAAGAUGGCUUCGGCUAUCACUUUUGGAUGGUCCCGCGGCGUAUUAGCUAGAUGGUGGGGUAACGGCUCACCAUGGCAAUGAUACGUAGCCGACCUGAGAGGGUAAUCGGCCACAUUGGGACUGAGACACGGCCCAAACUCCUACGGGAGGCAGCAGUAGGGAAUCUUCCACAAUGGACGAAAGUCUGAUGGAGCAACGCCGCGUGAGUGAAGAAGGGUUUCGGCUCGUAAAACUCUGUUGUUAAAGAAGAACAUAUCUGAGAGUAACUGUUCAGGUAUUGACGGUAUUUAACCAGAAAGCCACGGCUAACUACGUGCCAGCAGCCGCGGUAAUACGUAGGUGGCAAGCGUUGUCCGGAUUUAUUGGGCGUAAAGCGAGCGCAGGCGGUUUUUUAAGUCUGAUGUGAAAGCCUUCGGCUCAACCGAAGAAGUGCAUCGGAAACUGGGAAACUUGAGUGCAGAAGAGGACAGUGGAACUCCAUGUGUAGCGGUGAAAUGCGUAGAUAUAUGGAAGAACACCAGUGGCGAAGGCGGCUGUCUGGUCUGUAACUGACGCUGAGGCUCGAAAGUAUGGGUAGCAAACAGGAUUAGAUACCCUGGUAGUCCAUACCGUAAACGAUGAAUGCUAAGUGUUGGAGGGUUUCCGCCCUUCAGUGCUGCAGCUAACGCAUUAAGCAUUCCGCCUGGGGAGUACGGCCGCAAGGCUGAAACUCAAAGGAAUUGACGGGGGCCCGCACAAGCGGUGGAGCAUGUGGUUUAAUUCGAAGCUACGCGAAGAACCUUACCAGGUCUUGACAUACUAUGCAAAUCUAAGAGAUUAGACGUUCCCUUCGGGGACAUGGAUACAGGUGGUGCAUGGUUGUCGUCAGCUCGUGUCGUGAGAUGUUGGGUUAAGUCCCGCAACGAGCGCAACCCUUAUUAUCAGUUGCCAGCAUUAAGUUGGGCACUCUGGUGAGACUGCCGGUGACAAACCGGAGGAAGGUGGGGAUGACGUCAAAUCAUCAUGCCCCUUAUGACCUGGGCUACACACGUGCUACAAUGGAUGGUACAACGAGUUGCGAACUCGCGAGAGUAAGCUAAUCUCUUAAAGCCAUUCUCAGUUCGGAUUGUAGGCUGCAACUCGCCUACAUGAAGUCGGAAUCGCUAGUAAUCGCGGAUCAGCAUGCCGCGGUGAAUACGUUCCCGGGCCUUGUACACACCGCCCGUCACACCAUGAGAGUUUGUAACACCCAAAGUCGGUGGGGUAACCUUUUAGGAACCAGCCGCCUAAGGUGGGAC